RNAcentral lists this ribosomal RNA (253 nucleotides) under uncultured bacterium. Its description in RNAcentral is "partial 16S ribosomal RNA". It matches the Rfam family "Bacterial small subunit ribosomal RNA", at positions 524 to 776 of the family's 1533-position model. The record is from RNAcentral.
UACAGAGGUCCCGAGCGUUGUUCGGAUUCAUUGGGCGUAAAGGGUGCGUAGGCGGUCGGGUAAGUCGGAUGUGAAAUCUCAGGGCUCAACCCUGAAACUGCAUUCGAUACUGCCUGGCUAGGGUACUGGAGAGGAGACUGGAAUUUACGGUGUAGCAGUGAAAUGCGUAGAUAUCGUAAGGAAGACCAGUGGCGAAGGCGAGUCUCUGGACAGUUACCGACGCUGAGGCACGAAGGUCAGGGGAGCAAACGGG